RNAcentral lists this ribosomal RNA (250 nucleotides) under Vibrio parahaemolyticus. RNAcentral describes it as "partial 16S ribosomal RNA". It matches the Rfam family "Bacterial small subunit ribosomal RNA", at positions 793 to 1041 of the family's 1533-position model. The record is from RNAcentral. Lineage: Bacteria; Pseudomonadati; Pseudomonadota; Gammaproteobacteria; Vibrionales; Vibrionaceae.
GUCCACGCCGUAAACGAUGUCUACUUGGAGGUUGUGGCCUUGAGCCGUGGCUUUCGGAGCUAACGCGUUAAGUAGACCGCCUGGGGAGUACGGUCGCAAGAUUAAAACUCAAAUGAAUUGACGGGGGGCCCGCACAAGCGGUGGAGCAUGUGGUUUAAUUCGAUGCAACGCGAAGAACCUUACCUACUCUUGACAUCCAGAGAACUUUCCAGAGAUGGAUUGGUGCCUUCGGGAACUCUGAGACAGGUGC